GCAAGGAAUAUUGUGCAAUGGGCGAAAGCCUGACACAGCGACGCCGCGUGAGGGAAGAAGGCCUUCGGGUUGUAAACCUCUUUUCUUAGGGAAGAAUAAUGACGGUACCUGAGGAAUAAGCCUCGGCUAACUACGUGCCAGCAGCCGCGGUAAUACGUAGGAGGCGAGCGUUAUCCGGAUUUAUUGGGCGUAAAGAGCGCGCAGGCGGUCCUGCAAGUCGGAUGUAAAAUCUCCCGGCUCAACUGGGAGGGGCCAUUCGAAACUGCUGGACUAGAGGGCAACAGAGGGAGAUGGAAUUCCCGGUGUAGUGGUGAAAUGCGUAGAUAUCGGGAGGAACACCAGUGGCGAAAGCGGUCUUCUAGGUUGUACCUGACGCUGAGGCGCGAAAGCGUGGGGAGCGAACAGGAUUAGAUACCCUGGUAGUCC
Molecule: ribosomal RNA, 426 nt
Filed under: uncultured bacterium
Lineage: Bacteria
Description: bacterial SSU rRNA
Rfam family: Bacterial small subunit ribosomal RNA
Source: RNAcentral